Molecule: transfer RNA, 65 nt
Filed under: Actinomycetota bacterium
Lineage: Bacteria; Bacillati; Actinomycetota
Description: Actinobacteria bacterium (hot springs metagenome) tRNA-Met
Rfam family: tRNA
About the family: Transfer RNA (tRNA) molecules are approximately 80 nucleotides in length. Their secondary structure includes four short double-helical elements and three loops (D, anti-codon, and T loops).
Source: RNAcentral
GGAGGAGAGCGCGCAUCGGGCUCAUAACCCGAAGGUCGGUGGUUCGAAUCCACCCCCCGCUACCA